AUUGAACGCUGGCGGCAGGCCUAACACAUGCAAGUCGAGCGGAUGAAGGGAGCUUGCUCCUGGAUUCAGCGGCGGACGGGUGAGUAAUGCCUAGGAAUCUGCCUGGUAGUGGGGGAUAACGUCCGGAAACGGGCGCUAAUACCGCAUACGUCCUGAGGGAGAAAGUGGGGGAUCUUCGGACCUCACGCUAUCAGAUGAGCCUAGGUCGGAUUAGCUAGUUGGUGGGGUAAAGGCCUACCAAGGCGACGAUCCGUAACUGGUCUGAGAGGAUGAUCAGUCACACUGGAACUGAGACACGGUCCAGACUCCUACGGGAGGCAGCAGUGGGGAAUAUUGGACAAUGGGCGAAAGCCUGAUCCAGCCAUGCCGCGCGUGUGAAGAAGGUCUUCGGAUUGUAAAGCACUUUAAGUUGGGAGGAAGGGCAGUAAGUUAAUACCUUGCUGUUUUGACGUUACCAACAGAAUAAGCACCGGCUAACUUCGU
Molecule: ribosomal RNA, 483 nt
Filed under: uncultured bacterium
Lineage: Bacteria
Description: partial 16S ribosomal RNA
Rfam family: Bacterial small subunit ribosomal RNA
Source: RNAcentral